This 1069-nucleotide long non-coding RNA is filed under the name Homo sapiens (human). Its description in RNAcentral is "non-protein coding SNHG1:45". The stretch from base 864 to 988 matches the Rfam family "Small nucleolar RNA SNORD22". The record is from RNAcentral. Lineage: Eukaryota; Metazoa; Chordata; Mammalia; Primates; Hominidae.
CUCAUUUUUCUACUGCUCGUGGUAAGUGGCUUCGUGGUCUUUAUAGCUGUUACUCUUUUGUACUUUGUCUUUUUCUUUUAUUUUCUUUUGAGCGAUUGUGCGAACAUAGCAUAGCACGCACUAUGCCUUCUGUGUUGUAGCUGCCUGGCCAGGGCGACUGGCGGAUAAGGUCUUGUGCGUGGCCUCGAGGCUUAAAAGUAGCAGUGGGGCUUUGUGAAGGACAAAAUGGCGAUGGCGGGCCGUGUAGGUCCCCCUUCCUAUGAUGAGGACCUUUUCACAGACCUGUACUGAGCUCCGUGAGGAUAAAUAACUCUGAGGAGAUGGGCCCUGCAAGCCUCUUGCUUAGCCGUCUGUUCAGAAAAUAGCGUUUUCGAAAUGCCCUGAGUUGACCUAAUGUCUUAUUGGGCUCCUGUCUGCAGGAUUUACGCGCACGUUGGAACCGAAGAGAGCUCUGUUGUUGCAAUGUUCAGCCCACAAGAGCUUACUGGUGAAGGAAUGGGACAAGACCCAUCUUUAUGCAAAGCCAGCGUUACAGUAAUGUUCCAGCAUCUCAUAAUCUAUCCUGGGGAAUUCAGCUGCCUCCCAGGGUGAAUACAGGUAUUCCUGAUGACAGUCUGCCUCUAUCUUACAGUAAGUUGUUUUUCGAAUUCUAUGGGCCUAUUAUCUAAUAGAUAACUUAGCCAUUUUGAUAUUUGUUACCAAAGCCUGCUUAACCCAUAAAGUUUUCUGGUUCCUCUUGUUCUCUGUAGUGAUGUUUCUAGAUAGAUGCCCACUGAUAUAUGCCCCUUUUUUCUCAGAUAGAUGCCCACUGAUCUGCCCAGGGUCAGACGAAUGCUUGUCAGUUGUAGCUUUCCAGGAUUCUGCUCCAAUGAGGAGGAAACAUCCUGCCUUACCCCUGUUUUAGCCUGGGAACCAGUAAUUGUGAACUCACCAGGGUUAACAUGAAGAGGGCAUGAGAGCUUAUUCCAUAAGGAAUUGUCUGAGACAUUUGGUUACCUUUUCUUAGUUUGUCCAUUAGCAACCGUAACUAAAAUAGUUUUGGCUGUUUGGGAUAAUUAGCUAAUUGAAU